This is a non-coding RNA of Leptonychotes weddellii (Weddell seal), 1776 nucleotides long. NCBI's taxonomy places the organism in Eukaryota, Metazoa, Chordata, Mammalia, Carnivora, Phocidae. The record is from RefSeq and is a predicted model, not a curated record.
GUCCCGGCCGGGCCCGGCGCCCGGCCCGCGUCCCCGCUCCUGCUCGCCGCCGCGCCUCGGAAGCUGGGCCAAGCGGGCUGGGAAGGGAGAGAUCUCCUUGGGAGCUGACGCUCGAGCCUUCGCGACCCACUCAGAUUCCUCUUGGUCACGGAGUAGCGCUGGGAGGAGGAGGGGGACCGCUUUCUGCAGUUGGCCUCAUUAGCUGCCAAGAAGACCCGUCUUCUUUGUUUUUUAAGUCUCGAGAAAUGGACGAAGACGGUGAAGUCAGUUGAAGUCCGAAGAAAUCCAUCAGGGCGUUUUGAAGGGGCUUCAUAAAAACAUUUCAUUCCCCAGGCACAUUACUUGUUUCACCAGCCCUGCACCUCCUCGGAGCCUGGUGUGGAAUUCUUCCCUUUUUGGUGUGUGGUGGCAUUCCGCCCCCCCAAUGUGGACUCCAAAGGGUUGGUCCCUUCUUUGUAAUUUGAAAUGAAAUGAUGGCCACACGUCGGACUGGUCUACCGGAGGGAGAUGGUGACAAGCUCAAGGCCUGCGGGUCCCCCACCUGCGAGGAACUUCCAGUGAUUCUUCUGCAAGAAGGGUUUCUUCACUUUGAAAUUCCCCAUCUUGCCCAUGCAUCACCUCAGAGUAGGGAAUUCUCCCAUUUCAGGUGACUGGGAAUACUGCAAGUGUCUCUCUUUUCCUUCAGUUCCCAUCCGCCAGUAGUUUUGGAGUUGGGCCGGUUAGGGGAUGCCUUUGUGCAUUUUGUGGGUAUGUAUGCAAGAUUGGCUACCAGAGGUGGAGAGACGGCAGCGGGUAUGCUUGUUGUAACGGGACCUCAGUCUCACUUUGGCUUUGAUGAGUAUUCUGGCUUGCUGUUGAUGUGGAUCUCUGCUCUGGGUAGAAAAACAAGUCUUUUCCCGUGGACAGUUUAAGCACAGCCCUGAAAAACAGAUUUAUAGAGUUGUAAUUCCAACUCCCUGAAAAAUCUCCUGACAUUACUGUUCUUUUAUUUAUGCCCUUCUUUUCACUGCUCAGAAGUUCUGUGAGCUGCCCUGGGGCAUCAGGUGGCUUGCAUUGCCUUUAGACCAUCAUCUUUGGGAAGGCUCAGAUGAUUAUAUGCCAGGCUUCCUGAAAUUUUUUGAGCAGGCAGGACAGAAAUCAGAAAAUCCAUUGAUUUAUGACACCCAUAUGCCCUGUUGCCUCUUAUAUUCUUUCUUCUCUUUAUAUAUGUAUAUAUAUAUAGUCUCUAUAUGUUAUAUUUCAUUCUGUAACGACUGUAUUGUGUUUACUUGGUCAUUGGUUUCUGUAAUUUGCUUGCUAAAUGUACUGAAUAUUGUUACCCUUUAAACUUUACUUUUGAGCCGUCUAUAUUUUUAUUGAAGGAUUGAAUAGAUUAUAGUAACAUCCCCCAAAAGAGGCUUUACUCUCACUAUUUCUUUUGUACCUUGUAAGUGUUAAAUUUUAACUUCACGGCCAUUGAAACAAGGUCUAGUUCUUGAGUGUGUGAGUUUUGGCAUUUUAAUAAAAAUGAGUCAAGUUAAAUUUUUGUUUUUAAAGCAUGCAGAGAAACUUGCUUCAUGUAGCUCACUUCAUACAGCUCACUUCAUACAGGAUUAGAAAGUUUAUGCAGAAAAUACAGGGAGGUGGGUACUGUACAACUCCUUAGAACUAGAAGUUUACAGUUAGAAUCAGUGUUUUACUUUUUGACACCUGUAAACACCUGCUUGCAGGUGAAAACGUGAUUAAGUAUAACACCACAGUCCUCUGAUCAUGGUAAACCAUAAUAACUCCUUUUGG